Fukomys damarensis (Damara mole-rat) is the source of this 481-nucleotide long non-coding RNA. RefSeq lists it as uncharacterized. The transcript is spliced from 3 exons. The record is from RefSeq and is a predicted model, not a curated record. Lineage: Eukaryota; Metazoa; Chordata; Mammalia; Rodentia; Bathyergidae.
AGGACGCGAUGGUCUGCUUGGCGUUGCUUGUUUUUUAGGCUGAGACACACUUGAACGGGAGUCCUUUGGAGACCAGGGAACGCCGAAGCUGGCAUGGACUCGCCUUCAGAGACAGGAGAACACUCACUGAGCUAGGAGGAGUGGGCAUCUCUCUCAGGCCAGCAGCGCAGGCUCGUGAGGGUGCUAAUACAGCCAGAAAAGAGAGAUCUUCCCGUCUACCCCGGAGAAGCCUCGGCGAGGAAAUCAUUAAGCUAACAUCCAACCCCUCGGAGCGUGCAGGCAGAACAAAUCUGAGGGGAGCCGAGACAACCAGCAACGGCAGCAGUGUUUCACCAGAAACCAGACCGGUCCUCGGGAUGAAUCACUGCUCUCUACAAUUUGAGGAUUCCACAUCGUGAGCUAGACAAGUCCACCACCUGCCGGCACCAAGGAGUCCAGCCUGGGCAAAACAACCACAAAGGCCGACGGGGAAGCCAGCCCG